GGAGAGGUGGCUGAGUGGUCGAAAGCGAACGACUCGAAAUCGUUUGAUAGCUAAAACUAUCCGUGGGUUCGAAUCCCACCCUCUCCG
This is a transfer RNA of Prochlorococcus marinus str. NATL2A, 87 nucleotides long. It matches the Rfam family "tRNA". From Rfam's summary of the family: Transfer RNA (tRNA) molecules are approximately 80 nucleotides in length. Their secondary structure includes four short double-helical elements and three loops (D, anti-codon, and T loops). Lineage: Bacteria; Bacillati; Cyanobacteriota; Cyanophyceae; Synechococcales; Prochlorococcaceae. The record is from Rfam.